GGAAGAGGAGAAGGGAAAGAAGGGGCUGCGGCUGCGACGGUGACAACUGCAGCUGGAAGAGAAGAAGGAGAGGAAGAAAAGAAGGUGAGGAAGAAGAGAGGAAGGAAGAAGGGAAGGAGAGGAAGACGAGAAGGGGAAGAAGGGGCUGCGGCUACGGCGAUGGCAGCUGCAGUUGGAAGAGAAGAAGGAGAGGAAGAUGAGCAGGGGAGGAAGAAGAGGCUGUGGCUGG
Molecule: long non-coding RNA, 229 nt
Filed under: Musa acuminata (dwarf banana)
Lineage: Eukaryota; Viridiplantae; Streptophyta; Magnoliopsida; Zingiberales; Musaceae
Description: long non-coding RNA (MACU_LNC011267)
Source: RNAcentral